RNAcentral lists this ribosomal RNA (472 nucleotides) under uncultured bacterium. RNAcentral describes it as "bacterial SSU rRNA". It matches the Rfam family "Bacterial small subunit ribosomal RNA", at positions 914 to 1393 of the family's 1533-position model. The record is from RNAcentral.
CCGGGGCGCGCCCCGGGCGGGGCGGGGGCACGGGGGGAACGCGAAGAACCUUACCUGGCCUUGACAUCCACAGAACUUUGCAGAGAUGGUUUGGUGCCUUCGGGAACUGUGAGACAGGUGCUGCAUGGCUGUCGUCAGCUCGUGUUGUGAAAUGUUGGGUUAAGUCCCGCAACGAGCGCAACCCUUAUCCUUUGUUGCCAGCGAUUCGGUCGGGAACUCAAAGGAGACUGCCGGUGAUAAACCGGAGGAAGGUGGGGAUGACGUCAAGUCAUCAUGGCCCUUACGGCCAGGGCUACACACGUGCUACAAUGGCGCAUACAAAGAGAAGCGACCUCGCGAGAGCAAGCGGACCUCAUAAAGUGCGUCGUAGUCCGGAUUGGAGUCUGCAACUCGACUCCAUGAAGUCGGAAUCGCUAGUAAUCGUGGAUCAGAAUGCUACGGUGAAUACGUUCCCGGGUCUUGUACACACCGA